RNAcentral lists this ribosomal RNA (448 nucleotides) under uncultured bacterium. RNAcentral describes it as "partial 16S ribosomal RNA". It matches the Rfam family "Bacterial small subunit ribosomal RNA", at positions 39 to 523 of the family's 1533-position model. The record is from RNAcentral.
GCGGCAUGCCUAACACAUGCAAGUCGAACGGGAUCCUGGCUUCGGUCAGGUGAGAGUGGCGGACGGGUGAGUAACGCGUGGGAACCUGCCCAGUGGUGGGGGAUAACUGCGGGAAACUGCAGCUAAUACCGCAUGAGCCCGAGAGGGGAAAGAUUUAUCGCCAUUGGAGGGGCCCGCGUUCGAUUAGGUAGUUGGUGGGGUAAUGGCCUACCAAGCCUGCGAUCGGUAGCUGGUCUGAGAGGAUGAUCAGCCACACUGGGACUGAGACACGGCCCAGACUCCUACGGGAGGCAGCAGUGGGGAAUAUUGGACAAUGGGCGCAAGCCUGAUCCAGCAAUGCCGCGUGUGUGAAGAAGGUCUUCGGAUCGUAAAGCACUUUCGACGGGGACGAUGAUGACGGUACCCGUAGAAGAAGCCCCGGCUAACUUCGUGCCAGCCGCCGCGGUAA